RNAcentral lists this ribosomal RNA (508 nucleotides) under uncultured bacterium. Its description in RNAcentral is "partial 16S ribosomal RNA". It matches the Rfam family "Bacterial small subunit ribosomal RNA", at positions 28 to 523 of the family's 1533-position model. The record is from RNAcentral.
GAUGAACGCUAGCUACAGGCUUAACACAUGCAAGUCGAGGGGAAACGACAUCGAAAGCUUGCUUUUGAUGGGCGUCGACCGGCGCACGGGUGAGUAACGCGUAUCCAACCUGCCCACCACUUGGGGAUAACCUUGCGAAAGUAAGACUAAUACCCAAUGAUAUCUCUAGAAGACAUCUGAAGGAGAUUAAAGAUUUAUCGGUGAUGGAUGGGGAUGCGUCUGAUUAGCUUGUUGGCGGGGUAACGGCCCACCAAGGCGACGAUCAGUAGGGGUUCUGAGAGGAAGGUCCCCCACAUUGGAACUGAGACACGGUCCAAACUCCUACGGGAGGCAGCAGUGAGGAAUAUUGGUCAAUGGGCGAGAGCCUGAACCAGCCAAGUAGCGUGCAGGAUGACGGCCCUAUGGGUUGUAAACUGCUUUUAUAAGGGAAUAAAGUGAGUCUCGUGAGACUUUUUGCAUGUACCUUAUGAAUAAGGACCGGCUAAUUCCGUGCCAGCAGCCGCGGUAA